AUCAGGGGCCCUGGCAAGGGCCUUCGGAUCGCCGCUCUAACCUACCCACCUGAGCCGAUUCGUGUCUGUACCGCCCACAAGGCGUGUUUGACGAGAUUGCGACUGGAACGAAGUUGUCCCGAGGGACGGAAGCGUAAUUAGGUAGAACGGCAACACACUGCUGGAACGCAUAAAGGCCCACGAUGCCCGGACGCGCCCGACAGCUGGCCCUCACCUGCUCACUUUCC
Molecule: non-coding RNA, 227 nt
Organism: Pseudomonas sp. MF4836
Lineage: Bacteria; Pseudomonadati; Pseudomonadota; Gammaproteobacteria; Pseudomonadales; Pseudomonadaceae
Source: Rfam